This is a long non-coding RNA of Macrobrachium nipponense, 2719 nucleotides long. RefSeq lists it as uncharacterized. The record is from RefSeq and is a predicted model, not a curated record. The transcript is spliced from 4 exons. NCBI's taxonomy places the organism in Eukaryota, Metazoa, Arthropoda, Malacostraca, Decapoda, Palaemonidae.
ACUUGGUUUUCUUCGAAAGGCGCGAGACUCCAGUGUCUUCUCGCGCUCGUGGAGGCAGAGAGCGAAUACAAAGGUUUAAUUAAACUUCCCUUAUGAAACGACAGGAAGAGAUUUCAGUGAAUGUAAAGUCUGAAACAAAUCUCAAACGAACGAGAGAAGUUCGAUGGUGCCUAGUGAGUUUCAAAGUCUCCUUCUCUGACGCCUAGAGGAAGUUCCCGUGAUUGCCAAGGAAUUUUAAAUUACACCUUCUUAGACAACUUGAUGAGGGUUCAGUGAUUGCCAAGGGGUUUACAUAUCAUGUCUCAGACAGCUAGAAGUUCCAGUCAUUGGUGAGGAAUUUUGAAUUGCACCUUCUCUGACAACUACAGAAAGUUUUAGUGAUUGCCAAGGAGUUUUUCAUAUGGUUUCUCAGACAUCUAGAAGCUCCGGUGAUUGCCAAGGAAUUUUGAAAUACACGUUCUUAGACAACUAGAAGUUCCAGUGAUUGCCAAGGAAUUUUAAAUGACUCAGACAGCUAGAAGAAGCCUCAUCGGUUGCUAACUGGUUUUGCUUACUCCUUCUCAGGCCUUUGGAAGAAGUUUCAUUGACUGCCAAGGAGUUUUAAAUUCUCAUUUAUGACAGCUAGAGGAAGCUCCAGUGAUUGCCAAGGAGCUUUACAUAUACUCCUUUUCAGAAAACUAGAAGAAGUUUCAACGACUGCCAGAGGGUUUUGAAUAUUUCCUUAGACAACUGGAGGAAUCUUUAGCGAUUGCCACAAGGUUAUGAAUACUCCUCUGACAGCUAGAGGACGCUGCAGUGAAUGCCGAGGGCUUUUGCGUACACCUUCUCAGGCGGCUAGAGGACGCUCCAGCGACUGCCAAAGACUUUUGCUUACACCUGCUCUGACAUCACUGAUCGCCAAGGAUUUUUAAACACUCCUUCUCGGACAACUCGGGUGAUCAGGAAGAAAAUCUAAUCAGAAACCAUGCCUCUGUAGAUGAAACCUGCCCACGUGGAACAAGCACACCAAAGGGGCCAUUGAUUUAAGAUUCAAGUUUCCAAAGCUUGUUGGUUUUACCCUCUAAUCGCAGACCCCACACUGCAGCAGUAACUGAUCAUGGUACGGAGCUGGUGAUUUUCCAUCGCCCCGGGGGAAACGCGAACCCGCAACAUCCGAGUGGCAUUCCCCGACACUCACCACUAUACUAUUCGUCCUGCAGGAUACCCAGGCUGUUAUCAGAGGUUGGUGGAUUGUGUGUUCGCCCGUCCUCGUCAUUUUAAUCGUGCUGAUGAUAACAAACGUGAAUGACAGCAGUUUUACAGCUUUCCAAGUUUUCGUCGUUUUGUCUUUGUUGAGCCUCGUAUUCACCAUCACCUUACAUCAGGGGUGGCGACAAGGUCGCCUAGGUUACCAGGAACUUCCUCCCAACGCAGGAGAGGGAGCUGGAUGGUGCGAGGGCCCUGCAAACGUCUCCGCGCGUCUUCUGGAUUCCGGCGUUCCUCGGGGUGUCGAAGUAGUCCCACCCAGUUACAAACCGACCCGAAGUUCGCUGUCUGCCAGUGACACCAGUCUGGAUCUCCUGAAUCCUACCUUAUCCAUCUGAGUGACGAAAUCUGGACCCGCCAUGCAACUCUGCCCUGGGCGACAAACAGGAAAAUUUCUCUUGGUUUUGGUGUCGUCACUAAAGUUGUUCAGUGAUCAGUAUACAAUUCGCUGGUCACAUCUACGGGAAGCUUGUGGUAUUUCCGGAAGUGAUACUCGUAUACCAAAGUGAAAAUUGAAGAAGCUUUAUAUUCCCUAGUGCUGAUGAAACUUGUGGAAAGCAGAUAAUGUAUGAAGUUUCUUUUAAGCCACCGUGCUACAGCUAGAAGGCCAAGAUUUAAUUUUAACUCAUAACAUUGUAAAUUAUAGAUGUCGAAUUCACAGGCAUUAUGCAUGUUGGGCUAAAGGCUAAGGACUUAUCUUGGCUUAUAUCACUGCACAUAAUGUCUGUCAUAUUCACAUACUAUGACCUUAUGCACUCGUUUCUUUUUGGUCUAUAGUAGAUUCACAUCACCCGUGCAUCUGAUGUCUAGGCUCGUCCCUAACGAUGCUCCUGAUUGGCUGUUGAUAAGCCAAUCACAGUGCUGGACACUCUCAGUCACUCUCGAGAGUUCACAUAGGCAGGAUGUAUGCUCCGCCUCUCCUAAGGAGAGUUGAUACUUACAUCCUGCCAAUGUGAACUCUCGAGAGAGACUGAGAGUUUCCAGCCUUGUCAUUGGUUUAUCAACAGCCAAUCAGGAGCGUCGUAAGGGACUGGCUAGACACCAGGUACACGGAUGAUGGUGAAUCUACUAUAGUAUCAAGUACACGAAUCUGUUGACACAACAGUAACAGCAUCCUUGUCUGUUUGGAUCUUGACAGGAAAGGGAGAACUUUUUCACUUUAAUUUUCCUUCGGAUUCACGGUUUUCAGUGAAAAGAGUUGGGAAUGAGAGAAUUUAAGGAGUAAUCAAUAUGAAACGUGUUUUUUCUACUCUGUGUAAGCGAAUACAAAUCACACAGAAACUAAAGUUUGUCGGAUAAUUGACUGAUUACAAUUUAUCUGUCGACGCAGAUAUCGUGGGUUUAAUUCAUAAGAUUGUUAACAAGAGAAAACUGACUGAUUGGUUUUGACAAAUAAAGGAAUAUUGUUGAUUUCAUGCUGAGAGAGAGAGAGAGAGAGAGAGAGAGAGAGAGAGAGAGAGAGAGAGAGAGAGAG